UCAUUUAUUCUUAUACCAUGGAAGGUACUGGGAUCCAUAUUAUUAUAGGAGGCGAAGGCGACAAGCUGAUGAUGACAAGAUGAACUUCAUUGAAUCGGUCUUCUCCUUUGUAUUUGGAGAUGGUGAUCCCAAUCAAGGAAUUGAAGAAGAGAGAUGGAAGUUGAUUGGACAAUACAUAGCAUCUAAUGGUGGUGUUGUUGCAGCUGAAGAACUUGCUCCAUAUCUUGAUAUAGAUUCUACUGAGGGACUUAAGCUCAGGCUUGAGACAUGACAACAUACUUUAGCUUGGAAUAUCAAGUCAGGAUUGGUACAUUCAUAGUUUAACAUGAUCAUUUAUGGGUUUGG
Molecule: non-coding RNA, 345 nt
Organism: Cajanus cajan (pigeon pea)
Lineage: Eukaryota; Viridiplantae; Streptophyta; Magnoliopsida; Fabales; Fabaceae
Source: RefSeq, a predicted model, not a curated record